RNAcentral lists this ribosomal RNA (439 nucleotides) under uncultured bacterium. Its description in RNAcentral is "partial 16S ribosomal RNA". It matches the Rfam family "Bacterial small subunit ribosomal RNA", at positions 338 to 795 of the family's 1533-position model. The record is from RNAcentral.
CCUACGGGUGGCAGCAGUGGGGAAUAUUGCACAAUGGGCGAAAGCCUGAUGCAGCAACGCCGCGAGAACGAUGAAGGCCUUCGGGUCUUAAAGCUCUGUCCUCAAGGAAGAUAAUGACGGUACUUGAGGAGGAAGCCCCGUCUAACUACGUGCAAGCAGCCGCGGUAAUACGUAGGGGGCUAGCGUUAUCCGGAAUUACUGGGCGUAAGGGGUGCGUAGGGGGUUUAUUAAGUCAGAGGUGAAAGGCUAAGGCUCAACCGUAGUAAGCCUUUGAAACUGGGGAACGUGAGUGCAGGAGAGGAGAGUGGAAUUCCUGGUGUAGCGGUGAAAUGCGUAGAUAUUAGGAGGAACACCAGUUGCGAAGGCGGCUCUCUGGACUGUAACUGACACUGAGGCACGAAAGCGUGGGGAGCAAACAGGAUUAGAUACCCGUGUAGUC